UACGGAGGGUGCAAGCGUUGUUCGGAAUCACUGGGCGUAAAGCGCGUGUAGGCGGUUACUUAAGUCUGAUGUGAAAGCCCGGGGCUCAACUCCGGAAGGGCAUUGGAAACUGGGUGACUUGAGUGCCGGAGAGGAGGGUGGAAUUCCUGGUGUAGCGGUGAAAUGCGUAGAUAUCAGGAGGAACACCGGUGGCGAAGGCGGCCCUCUGGACGGAUACUGACGCUGAGGCACGAAAGCGUGGGGAGCAAACAGG
This 253-nucleotide ribosomal RNA is filed under the name uncultured bacterium. RNAcentral's name for it is "partial 16S ribosomal RNA". It matches the Rfam family "Bacterial small subunit ribosomal RNA", at positions 524 to 776 of the family's 1533-position model. The record is from RNAcentral.